CCGACACAUUCCAGCCAAUCAGCAGCAGACCCUCCCUCCCAUACCCUCCCACCUCUUGGAGAGCAUCCAUUUUGAAGCUGCAUUCUUAGUGAGCUGUCCAGGAGGUGGGAGGGUCUGGGAGGGAGGGUCUGCUGCUGAUUGGCUGGAAUGUGUCU
This 155-nucleotide microRNA precursor is filed under the name Pelobates cultripes (western spadefoot toad). Lineage: Eukaryota; Metazoa; Chordata; Amphibia; Anura; Pelobatidae. The record is from RNAcentral.